CAGGAGGCAGAUGCUGAGCUCCAGAGAGUUAUUUGCGUCUCACAUCUGGUGGCCUUCCCUUGGUUAGCUCACCCUCUGUCUCUCCUGUGCUUGGAUCCUGGCUGCGGUUCUCAGCACCAGAACCUUCAGGCCCCUCUGUUCCCGCACCUCAGAGAAAAUUCCUCUGUGGCUCCCGACCCCACCCAUGAACAUGAAGAGGACAAGUGAUGCGCUUGUGUUCAGUCAAUGAUCGCUUUACCCUCCAAGCGACAGAAGGACAGCUCAUCAGUGCUGGUCCCAACAACGGAAAGACAAACAAACAACA
Molecule: long non-coding RNA, 304 nt
Organism: Ochotona princeps (American pika)
Lineage: Eukaryota; Metazoa; Chordata; Mammalia; Lagomorpha; Ochotonidae
Exons: 3
Source: RefSeq, a predicted model, not a curated record